This 20-nucleotide ribosomal RNA is filed under the name Weymouthia mollis. Its description in RNAcentral is "partial 26S ribosomal RNA". The record is from RNAcentral. Lineage: Eukaryota; Viridiplantae; Streptophyta; Bryopsida; Hypnales; Lembophyllaceae.
CGUCACGCAUCAGACCUCUA